AUGGCCAUGGAAAGGAGAGCUUCAAUCCGGCAUGGGCGGUGCUGCACCGCCACCAAGCUACAGCCAUCGCCGCGCGGAGCUGCAACCAAAGGGUGCAGCUAUUGCAUGAGUGAAGCCGGGGACGAGGGCGGCAACCAACGACGAGGACGGACAGCGAGGACGUCGCGCUGGUGCUUCAAGUUCGGUCGUUUUCUCACGGGGGGUAUGGCGGGGCCGCGGGGGUGCGGAGCGUUGGCGGUGCUCGGGGACGUUGAAAUUUUUAUCACAGAGGAGGAGGAGGGGGGCGACUACGAGGAGGACGAAGUUGGGGUCAGAUCUGAUGGUUUUAAUCGCGCGUAUCGGGCGGCCAGGGCUCGACCGGCCCAACCGUUCGCCCUUUUGUUUCCGAGAAAGAUUUGUGUUCAGUUUUUCCGUUGUUGUGUCUUGGCCCGCCGGCGUGCGGCCGGCACGCUCGAGUUUUAUAUACCAGGUCAUCAGUUCGGCGCCAAGUGUGCAUCAUCGCCGUCCAUUCCGGUCCACAUGUCGUCCGCCUCAGCCAGCAGCGAGCCGCACGACGCGCCGGCCGCCGACAGCAGCGUGCCGGCGUCGAGGUCGAUCGCGGAGCGGUGGAAGAUGGAGGCGGCGCCGGUGCGGGCGCGGCUGCUGCUGCGGGCCUUCGCGUGGCUCUUCUCCCUGCUGGCCCUCGUCGUCAUGGCCACCGACGUGCACGGCCGCGGCGGCGCCCAGGACUUCAGCACCUACCCGGAAUACAAGCACGUCGUCCAGAUCCAUCCAUCGACCCCCGUCUCAUCAUCUGUCACCUGA
This 804-nucleotide ribosomal RNA is filed under the name Triticum aestivum (bread wheat). RNAcentral's name for it is "partial small subunit ribosomal RNA". Lineage: Eukaryota; Viridiplantae; Streptophyta; Magnoliopsida; Poales; Poaceae. The record is from RNAcentral.